RNAcentral lists this unclassified non-coding RNA (358 nucleotides) under soil metagenome. Its description in RNAcentral is "partial contains 5.8S ribosomal RNA, internal transcribed spacer 2, and large subunit ribosomal RNA". The stretch from base 1 to 120 matches the Rfam family "5.8S ribosomal RNA", at positions 35 to 154 of the family's 154-position model. The record is from RNAcentral.
GAUGAAGAACGUAGCGAAAUGCGAUAAGUAAUGUGAAUUGCAGAAUUCAGUGAAUCAUCGAAUCUUUGAACGCACAUUGCGCCCGUCAGUAUUCUGGCGGGCAUGUCUGUUCGAGCGUCAUUACGCCCCUCAAGUCCCCUGUGGACUUGGUGUUGGGGAUCGGCGAGGCUGGUUUUCCAGCACAGCCGUCCCUUAAAUUAAUUGGCGGUCUCGCCGUGGCCCUCCUCUGCGCAGUAGUAAAACACUCGCAACAGGAGCCCGGCGCGGUCCACUGCCGUAAAACCCCCCAACUUUUUAUAGUUGACCUCGAAUCAGGUAGGGAUACCCGCUGAACUUAAGCAUAUCAAUAAGCGGAGGA